AGGUUCUACCAUCGGUCGGGCUACCAAGUCUGUACUGGUGUAUAGAAUUUCUACCUUCUGGGGAACCAUCAUGUUAUUAAUUUAGUAUAGUGUGAAACCAGGACCUUUACCUUGAAAAAUUAGAGUGUUCAAAGCAGGCUUAUGUUUGAAUAUAUUAGCAUAGAAUAAUAGAAUAGGACGGUAGUCCUGUUUUGUUGGUUUCUGAAUCACUAUAAUGAUUAAUAGGGAUAGUUG
Molecule: ribosomal RNA, 234 nt
Filed under: uncultured Scutellospora
Lineage: Eukaryota; Fungi; Glomeromycota; Glomeromycetes; Diversisporales; Gigasporaceae
Description: partial 18S ribosomal RNA
Rfam family: Eukaryotic small subunit ribosomal RNA (bases 48-234)
Source: RNAcentral